Molecule: ribosomal RNA, 742 nt
Filed under: Bacillus thuringiensis
Lineage: Bacteria; Bacillati; Bacillota; Bacilli; Caryophanales; Bacillaceae
Description: bacterial SSU rRNA
Rfam family: Bacterial small subunit ribosomal RNA
Source: RNAcentral
UGAGCGGCGUGCCUAAUACAUGCAAGUCGAGCGAAUGGAUUAAGAGCUUGCUCUUAUGAAGUUAGCGGCGGACGGGUGAGUAACACGUGGGUAACCUGCCCAUAAGACUGGGAUAACUCCGGGAAACCGGGGCUAAUACCGGAUAACAUUUUGAACCGCAUGGUUCGAAAUUGAAAGGCGGCUUCGGCUGUCACUUAUGGAUGGACCCGCGUCGCAUUAGCUAGUUGGUGAGGUAACGGCUCACCAAGGCAACGAUGCGUAGCCGACCUGAGAGGGUGAUCGGCCACACUGGGACUGAGACACGGCCCAGACUCCUACGGGAGGCAGCAGUAGGGAAUCUUCCGCAAUGGACGAAAGUCUGACGGAGCAACGCCGCGUGAGUGAUGAAGGCUUUCGGGUCGUAAAACUCUGUUGUUAGGGAAGAACAAGUGCUAGUUGAAUAAGCUGGCACCUUGACGGUACCUAACCAGAAAGCCACGGCUAACUACGUGCCAGCAGCCGCGGUAAUACGUAGGUGGCAAGCGUUAUCCGGAAUUAUUGGGCGUAAAGCGCGCGCAGGUGGUUUCUUAAGUCUGAUGUGAAAGCCCACGGCUCAACCGUGGAGGGUCAUUGGAAACUGGGAGACUUGAGUGCAGAAGAGGAAAGUGGAAUUCCAUGUGUAGCGGUGAAAUGCGUAGAGAUAUGGAGGAACACCAGUGGCGAAGGCGACUUUCUGGUCUGUAACUGACACUGAGGCGCGAAA